This 253-nucleotide ribosomal RNA is filed under the name uncultured bacterium. Its description in RNAcentral is "partial 16S ribosomal RNA". It matches the Rfam family "Bacterial small subunit ribosomal RNA", at positions 524 to 776 of the family's 1533-position model. The record is from RNAcentral.
UACGGAGGAUCCAAGCGUUAUCCGGAAUCAUUGGGCUUAAAGGGUCCGUAGGCGGUUUUGUAAGUCAGUGGUGAAAGCCCAUCGCUCAACGGUGGAACGGCCAUUGAUACUGCAAGACUUGAAUUAUUGGGAAGUAACUAGAAUAUGUAGUGUAGCGGUGAAAUGCUUAGAGAUUACAUGGAAUACCAAUUGCGAAGGCAGGUUACUAUCAAUAUAUUGACGCUGAUGGACGAAAGCGUGGGUAGCAAACAGG